AUUGAACGCUGGCGGCAUGCCUUACACAUGCAAGUCGAACGGCAGCACGGGAGCAAUCCUGGUGGCGAGUGGCGAACGGGUGAGUAAAGUAUCGGAACGUGCCCAGUCGUGGGGGAUAACGUAGCGAAAGUUACGCAAAUACCGCAUACGAUCUAUGAAUGAAAGCGGGGGAUCGCAAGACCUCGCGCGAUUGGAGCGGCCGAUAUCAGAUUAGGUAGUUGGUGGGGUAAAGGCUCACCAAGCCGACAAUCUGUAGCUGGUCUGAGAGGACGACCAGCCACACUGGGACUGAGACACGGCCCAGACUCCUACGGGAGGCAGCAGUGGGGAAUUUUGGACAAUGGGCGAAAGCCUGAUCCAGCCAUGCCGCGUGCAGGAUGAAGGCCUUCGGGUUGUAAACUGCUUUUGUACGGAACGAAAAGGUUUGGCCUAAUAAGCUGAGCUCAUGACGGUACCGUAAGAAUAAGCACCGGCUAACUACGUGCCAGCCGCCGCAGUAA
Molecule: ribosomal RNA, 500 nt
Filed under: uncultured bacterium
Lineage: Bacteria
Description: partial 16S ribosomal RNA
Rfam family: Bacterial small subunit ribosomal RNA
Source: RNAcentral